ACCCCUCUAAUCCCGGGCCCGAACCGGACCGCGCCGUCGCCCGCAGCUCCCUCCUGUGGGAGCUCCCCUCGCGCCCGCAAGCCGCCUCGCCGGCGACCCCACACCUCCGCCACGCCCCGCCGCCGGCGACCUUCCCCACUGGAUCUCCGGACCUCCAUGGCGCCGCUGGACCUCAAUCUCGCUGGAUCUGGCCGCCUCCACACCAAAUCCGCCGGAAAUGGAUCCUCCCUGGCCAGAUCCGCCCGGAUCCGACCGGGCCCCGCCGUCGUCGCCACCGGAGCACCGCCCCGCUCGACCUGCAGCGCCACCUUCCACCGGCAGCCCCCAGUCUCGGUCGCCACGCGAUCAUGUGGAUGAUGCUCGGCGUGUCCCUGUAAUUGCCGGCUACUGCCACUCCCCGCCCCUGUUCAAUUAAGCCAAUGCUUGAAAUUUUGGUUUAGACUGACCUGCUCUUCAAUCCUUGCUGAUUUGUGGUUUUGAGACCCACCCAAGCAGGGUCUGCGUUCAUGAGGAGAACCUGCUGUUCCUGGAGGCCUGGCAGACAGUCGAUCCCGCUGCUACCACAAGUACGCUUUGUGACGAGCUGGUCAACACAAGGGAGGAGACAUAUGAUUCCACUUGUGCAAAGUCUGCCUGUACUGCUAUCCAUAUUGCCCCAUAGCAAUACAAUUUAUCUACUGCCUCAAUAGCUCACUUCUGCAAGUCAUAACAUGACAUUUAAUAUUUUAGAAAGUACAACCGAGUUUAAUAAGUGGAUCAAAUGCAGUUGUCAUGCACCUCCUUUGGUUGAAUCUGAAUUCUGUUAGAAACAUGGCAAACCACCUAGAUAUGCCAUUGAUCUGUACAAAACUGAGAGAUUUUGUGUUUUUACAGUUCUUUUGUGCUCUGACCGAAUUUGCUUAUCUGACAUUUUUUCAGAUGUUGCAACCUUGGGCGAUCGGUUCAUUGGAUUCUUGAAACCAAUGCCUUUUCUGAAGUAAGUCUGGCAUGCAAGGUGCCUUCACGGUUUAUUUCCAAGAUGGCGCUGGGAUCUCGGGGACGUGCCAGACGGCGUUGCGUUCCUGCACCUUGGGGAUGGCUUGGGUCGAAUUCUCCUCCAUGCAAUCUUGUGCUCCUUUGGGUGUUUCUAAUCUUUCUGCCUUCUAGCGUAAAUAGAGAGAUGUUCUCCCAUCGCUAUUGGCUGUCAAAUUUUGGAUGCAAUCCGUCCGCAUGUCGGCACAAUCAGCAGAACAAAGCAGCUACCAUGAUUUGCCCAUUGAUCUCUUGGAGUGAUUCAAACCUGCAAGCACCAGGAUUGAGUGACUCCUGCAUAUGAUGACUGAAGAAUUUUUCAUCAAUUUUCCAACCUGAAUUAGAUACAGAAUUUGGGAAAAGAGGAGUCCAGGCUCUGAUGAACACACCGUCUUUCCCAGAAACCACUUCAACUAGCCCAGGACUGUGUCUAUUAGUCCUCCGGUAUUUCUUGAGAUGACACAUUGUAUGAUAGGUAACAAGCAACUGAAGCAAGAAGAUUUUUUAAAUUUCUUGGAAAGUAUAACCACCUUAACCCAGGAUGCAAGAUGAAGGAUCCAAUAUGUCAGGACCAACGAGGGAAUUGCAGUAUGUCAGAACCAAUGAGAGAAUUGUAGAGCUUCAUAUUAAGUUUAUUUUAGCUGCUUGCCCGCUUCAAGUGUCUAGAUUACAGGAAACAUGUUUCUUUAAGUGACAAACCUGGAUACCAAUUUAUUCAAACUAUUAUAUUUCUUAUAGAAGUAAUGCAAUAUAUUCUCUC
Long non-coding RNA from Triticum urartu, 1771 nucleotides. RefSeq lists it as uncharacterized. The record is from RefSeq and is a predicted model, not a curated record. Lineage: Eukaryota; Viridiplantae; Streptophyta; Magnoliopsida; Poales; Poaceae.